Molecule: long non-coding RNA, 526 nt
Filed under: Marmota monax (woodchuck)
Lineage: Eukaryota; Metazoa; Chordata; Mammalia; Rodentia; Sciuridae
Source: RNAcentral
GGCGGGUCCACGCUCUGGCGCCGGCCGGCGGAGCCCGGAAGGCGACUGGAAGGAGCCGUGUUGGAGCCAUGGCGGCGCCCGGCGCGCUGCUCGUGAUGGGCGUAAGCGGCUCCGGAAAGUAGGUCCAGGAGGCCGGGUGCAGGGGCACCUGGUGGGGAGGCGGGCGCCGUGGUCGGCCGGGCGGGGACCCGAAGGCCCUGGGAGCCCGUGGCACCUGCUUGUCCACCUUCCAACCCGCCCGCCUAAGCCCCGGCCCGGGACCACGGGAGACCUUGGGUCUCUGCGUAUAAAACCCAGGCUCUAGCCACGCCGGCCGGGGUCAGGAGCCCCUUGUAAAGAGGCCGCUUGGGCAGAGUGAUUGACAGGUUACCAACGUGAGGGACGGCGGUUCCACUCCACAUCUCAGGAGGCUCUGAAUGCCCGGGGUUGGGACGUUUUGUCAGUCAGGGCCGGAGCCUGCAGAGCCCACGUCCCAGCCUCUUUCAGACGUUUGUNGGGGAUUAGCUUUUGGCUUCCUGAUAAAACC